GACGAACGCUGGCGGCGUGCUUAACACAUGCCAGUCGAACGGAAAGGCCCUGCUUUUGUGGGGUGCUCGAGUGGCGAACGGGUGAGUAACACGUGAGUAACCUGCCCUUGACUUUGGGAUAACUUCAGGAAACUGGGGCUAAUACCGGAUAGGAGCUCCUGCUGCAUGGUGGGGGUUGGAAAGUUUCGGCGGUUGGGGAUGGACUCGCGGCUUAUCAGCUUGUUGGUGGGGUAGUGGCUUACCAAGGCUUUGACGGGUAGCCGGCCUGAGAGGGUGACCGGCCACAUUGGGACUCAGAUACGGCCCAGACUCCUACGGGAGGCAGCAGUGGGGAAUAUUGCACAAUGGGCGGAAGCCUGAUGCAGCAACGCCGCGUGCGGGAUGACGGCCUUCGGGUUGUAAACCGCUUUCGCCUGUGACGAAGCGUGAGUGACGGUAAUGGGUAAAGAAGCACCGGCUAACUACGUG
This 468-nucleotide ribosomal RNA is filed under the name uncultured bacterium. Its description in RNAcentral is "partial 16S ribosomal RNA". It matches the Rfam family "Bacterial small subunit ribosomal RNA", at positions 28 to 507 of the family's 1533-position model. The record is from RNAcentral.